This 4198-nucleotide long non-coding RNA is filed under the name Gossypium barbadense (sea-island cotton). RNAcentral describes it as "long non-coding RNA (GBAR_LNC018190)". The record is from RNAcentral. Lineage: Eukaryota; Viridiplantae; Streptophyta; Magnoliopsida; Malvales; Malvaceae.
UUUAAGUUGCUUCCAUUGCCGGCCACAAUUAGGUAAGGUAAUAAGUUGUUUUCUUAAAGAUUUUUGUAGAUUUCUCAAGUAUGGAUCAUGGUGUAGUUAGCCCAUUGUUUAAUUUUUGCUAUUAAGUAAAUUAGUUCAUGAUACCAUUGUUGAAGAUAUGAAGUUUUGUAAGCUUGAAAACACGAGAUUCAUGAUAGUUAAGCUUGAUUAUGUAAGGAUAAAAUGAGUUAGUUUGAAAUAAAGUUACAUCAUGUUAAAGUUUUAAAGUUAUUAUUGAAACAUUAAGGAUUAGAUUGUAAGAGAUGAGAAUUUUGGAAUAUUAUGGUAGUUUGAGAUCCCUAGAGAAUAAAUACGAGGAUAGGAUAAAGUGCAAGAUUAAAGUUAUAAAGGGAUUCAAAUGAAAAGAACCUAAAAUUGUGUUCUAGGCAUUGGAUAUAAGCUCAUCAAUGAUGUAGUUUAUAUCGAAAAGAUCGUACAUAGCUGAAGAUGAGAUCGAAACGUCGAGGAACUGAGGCGAAUAUGGUGGUCAGAUAACUAAUUUGGUUUGUGCUAAUUUAAUAAAUAUUUAUUCAAUUCAUGUUUUUAAUUACUAUUAAGUCCUUGAAUUUAAUAUAAAAUAUGAAUAUCAAGUAUGUUUCCAGUUAUGUCGUGAUUGAAUGUCAAGUGUUAGUAUAAAUGUUAAGGGAUAAUAUCAAGCACGACUUAUGACUAGGUAAGUAAACUAUGUCUUAUCCCUUGAUAAUAAGUUCGACUUGAAUUAUAGAAUAAUAGUGAUAAUAUUUGAUAUUGAUAUAAGUUGUAAUGCUAUCAUGAUAGAUAUUGACACGAACAAAUGUCACGUUAGCGAACAAAAUAAAUUAAAUAUAAAUAAACACAUAUGAAAUAAAAUAUAAAUAGAAUGAUUUAUAAUUAAUUUAUUAAAUACGAAAAUCAAAUAAAACCAUAAUAAACAGUUGAAAUAAAGGAGAAUCGAGAUUUUACGAAACGUCAAGGCCUGUGAAACAUAGUUUCCUUAAGACAGAUUCGGCCACUCCUACGGUAUUUGGAGAAACGUUGGUCGAAUGUCUUCCAUAAUACAACAAUAACAAUGAUCAAAGUAGUAGAACCUUUACAACAAUCAACGAACGAACUUUGCCUUUUUCUAUCACCGGAAUGUUUUAGAAAUACGGAGAGGCAAAAAGAAGAAUUUUGAAAUCAACGAAAUUUCGGUAUAAGAAAUUAUUGGAAUGUAGGUUUAAUCCUCCAGAAUACACAACCUUUUAUAGGCUUUUAGGAUAGUGGGGCUUAAAAUAAAUUCGCGUGGGACUUAAAAUCUUCGCAAGCCUAUUUAGGCUUGAUCGGUCUGGACAUUUCACAUUGCCCACGUUGUCUGGGUGCACCUUAAUCCCGUCGGGUUUAGACUUGCACCCCCUACACGCGAGGCAAAGUUACAAGCUUAGUCAGUCAAUUAUUUUUUAAUAGGGUUCACAUAUAUAAACAUAUCUCACACUUUGGUAUUUAACCAAUGUGGGGUCUAAGUCUUUAUUUUUCCUCAACAAUAUUUUCAAGUAGUUUACUUUGAGCAUCAAUUUCUCAUUCACUACUCAACCAUUUUGAGCAUAUGAUAUACCGUUGUAAAGGUCUCAUGAAGUAGAAUAUGAAACCAUAAUUUUAUGAUUCAACUCUCCACCUUUACGUGUUGAGAAUAUGCCUCAAAGUUCCCAUAAAAAUAUAAUUUUCCAACAAUGAAUUCUAUGCCAUGAAAUAGUUAUGAUGUUAUCUUGGUAGAUGUUAAGAUGAUGCACACAUAAAUUUAUGUAUGUACAAAAUUAGCACAUGCUAUGAUGUAAGAUAAUUCACAAUUUGUCUUGAGACUAUUAAACAUUGAACUUAAAAUAAAUUUUAUCCUAUUUUAGGUAUUGAGACAAAAACCUUUUCUUGAGGCAUCCAAAUAUCGAAGUAAAAAGUUUGAAAUAAGGGAAUUAUGUCUUGAGACAUAAGUGACCAAGUCUUGAGAUACAAACUUCAGUGUCUCAAGAUGCAGAGUUAAAUUGGCCCGUCAAGUUUGAAUUUAAAUCCUAACUUCAUGUUUGAUUUCGAUAAACUUUGAAACAUUUUAUAUGAGAUAAUUUAGCUUAACUCAUCAUGUUUAUGCGUAUAAUUGUGAUUGUAUGAGAAUUAUUAUGAUUGAUUGCCAAAUUAUUUGAUAUAAUAAAUUGAAAUAGUCUGAGUUACUUCGGAAACAUAAUGUGAUAUCAUACAUCUAGAUUUGACGAUUAGGUUAGGUGUGGGGUAUCACAAUUGUAAUUUAUAAUUAUCAUAAGUAAAGUUGUAUAUUAAUUGUUUUAGAAUUAAAGUUUUAUUGUUAAAAACUAAUAUUAAGUGGGCAAAAUUAGAAUGUUGUUUUUGAAAAAAAAAAGAUUUUAGGUUGCAUUUUGGUUCAAUUAGAAAAAUAGGUUGAUUUAACCGACUAGAUUGUCAUAGUAGCUAAAGCACAUUUUGUAAGGCAUGUUUUCAGCAACCAAAGCGUCUUACAAGAUACACUUUUGGGGAAAAUAAAGCAAAAAUAUUGAAAAAAAAGCAAUUAGGUCGGAAUUUCCUCUUUCGCUACCUCUUUUGCAUAAGAAGGAACCUCACCGAUGACAUAAAUCUCUUCCUCUCUCUUUAAUCUUUCUACAACCAAUAAAUGUGCAACUUCAUUUGCUUGUCUCAGCGUGUGCUUAAAGACACACACUUGGUAUCUUUCACAGAUUGCUCUAAUGUUUAAAAUAUGAGCACCUAUUACUGACCUAUCGAUUCCCUUUGAUUGCAGCUUCCGAAUCACCGAUAAGGUGUCUCCUUCGAUCUCCACCCUCGUAAGUCCAACAUGCAGCUCCAUCUUAAUCAUCUGAAAACAUGCCAGUGCCUCAACCGCAAAUGGUGAAGGUAUGUUGCCAUACAAAAUGCUUUUUGAGAAUAACACCCUGCCAAUAGUAUCUCUGAUGAUAAUUCCUAAGCAUGACUUGUUAUUUUGCUUACAAAAAGCUACAUCAAAAUUUAUUUUGACAAUUUGUUCAUUUGGUGCCUUCCAUCAUACUUGUACGACUUGCUUUACUGUUGUUCUUUCAUUGAUUCCAUCAAUUUCCUCCAAAUAAUUUCUAAUAAAAUUUGCCGUCUCUGAUGCUAUUAUGUUUUUUCCUUCAUGCAGCAGUUGAUUUCUCCCAGCCUAUAUAGCCCACAAAGCACAACAAAAGAUUCGACAAAAGUACUUAGAAUUGUUCUCAAAAAAAAGAUUCACCUAGUUUUUGAUAUUCAUAACUGGUGACGUUUUGGUCACAUAAUGCCUAACUACUGCUAGAUCUCCUUUGAUUUCAAACACUCCAUAAACACAUAUUCCAUUGUUUCGAAUCCGUUUGCACAUCUAGGGUAUUCUGACAUUCCCAUCAGCCUCCUGUAAUUUAGAUUAGAAAAAGUAGGCAAAUCGUUCUUUUUAAUUCUCCAUAAUGUAUUUUUUUUUAUCUUAGAGGGCAAAUCUAAAAGCCAAUGCUUUUUGUAAAGUGUCGAAUGGGGAUGAUUACUCCCAUUUGUAGUUCCCAUAUUAUUUUCUUGUAAUAACAAUUUGUAAGCACUAUGCACUGUAUACUCCCCCAAUGCCUUUCCACCCAAGCCAGGAAAUCCUCAUGUAGAAACUAUGUCAAAGGAAUGCUUAAAAUGCGUUGGGCCUUCACUUCAUUAAAGAUAGAUCGUACAAUUCCUUCUCUCCAUGUCCUCAAUCUUGGAUCAAUCAAAUCAACCAAUGUUUGUAUACAUUGAUUAGUAAUAGUUUGCUGAAUUUUGAAAUUUGGAUUCCCAGGUAUCCACGCAUCAUCUCUCAUCGAGAUUGCUGCCCCUGUACCAAUUCUCCAACACAUCUCAAACACUCAAACACAAGAAUCCCUUUGAGGCCCGCACAAUUUUCCAAGUAUACAAAGGUAGAUUCCGUAAACUCGCUGUAGAAAGUUCAUGUUUGGAAAAUAUUUUGCCUUUAAAGUUCUCACUAACAAGGAAUUUAGGCAAGUAAUCAAUCACCAAACCUUGUUUGGCCAGUAGAGCCAAAUUAAACUUUGCUAGGCAACAUAAUCUCAUACCUUCAUAAUCUUUUAAUUCACAUAAUUGUCUCCAAGUGCACCAAUAAAUUCUACGCUUAUUACUACUUUUACCCCACUAGAAAUUACCAAUAAUAUUUUCAAGUUCCACACAU